UACGGAGGGUGCGAACGUUAAUCGGAAUCACUGGGCGUAAAGCGCGCGUAGGCGGUUCGUUAAGUGGGAUGUGAAAUCCCCGGGCUUAACCUGGGAAUUGCAUUUCAAACUGGCCGACUAGAGUACGGUAGAGGGAGGUAGAAUUUCCUGUGUAGCGGUGAAAUGCGUAGAUAUAGGAAGGAAUACCAGUGGCGAAGGCGGCCUCCUGGAUCGGUACUGACGCUGAGGCGCGAAAGCGUGGGGAGCAAACAGG
Molecule: ribosomal RNA, 253 nt
Filed under: uncultured bacterium
Lineage: Bacteria
Description: partial 16S ribosomal RNA
Rfam family: Bacterial small subunit ribosomal RNA
Source: RNAcentral